GGCUAGAGUUUGAUCAUGGCUCAGGACGAACGCUGGCGGCGCGCCUAACACAUGCAAGUCGAACGGAGUUGAGAGGAGCUUGCUUUUCUUGACUUAGUGGCGAACGGGUGAGUAACGCGUGAGGAACCUGCCUCAAAGAGGGGGACAACAGUUGGAAACGACUGCUAAUACCGCAUAAGCCCACGGUCUCGCAUGGGACAGAGGGAAAAGGAGCAAUCCGCUUUGAGAUGGCCUCGCGUCCGAUUAGCUAGUUGGUGAGGUAACGGCCCACCAAGGCGACGAUCGGUAGCCGGACUGAGAGGUUGAACGGCCACAUUGGGACUGAGACACGGCCCAGACUCCUACGGGAGGCAGCAGUGGGGAAUAUUGCACAAUGGGGGAAACCCUGAUGCAGCGACGCCGCGUGGAGGAAGAAGGUCUUCGGAUUGUAAACUCCUGUUGUUGGGGAAAAAGAGGAUGGUACCCAACAAGGAAGUGACGGCUAACUACGUGCCAGCAGCCGCGGUAAAACGUAGGUCACGAGCGUUGUCCGGAAUUACUGGGUGUAAAGGGAGCGCAGGCGGGUAUGCAAGUUGGGAGUGAAAUACAUGGGCUCAACCCAUGAACUGCUCUCAAAACUGUGUAUCUUGAGUAGUGCAGAGGUAGGCG
RNAcentral lists this ribosomal RNA (648 nucleotides) under uncultured organism. Its description in RNAcentral is "bacterial SSU rRNA". It matches the Rfam family "Bacterial small subunit ribosomal RNA", at positions 1 to 663 of the family's 1533-position model. The record is from RNAcentral.